AGGUGUGUGGAGUACACUUCCCUGACGGCAGACCAACGCAGGAACACCCAUAUCCCAUAAUAUGGGAUAUGAAUAUAGUAAAGCACCAUCAUGUGGAAGACCACCCACAAAGAGAUGUCUCCAGCCCCCAACAGAGAGACCAUGUGAUGAGCCUCCUGUGACAAAUUCUGAUACCGAAGUAGGGCAUAGCUUGGAGGAUAGUCUGUCUCCACACCAAUGUGAUGUUGGCACUCAGUGGCCAGAGCGUAGUGAUCAUGAUUAUUGUUCGAUGAAGUCAACAAAAGAUGCAAGCACACAAACAGAUCCUACACCAUCACUGUCAGCUCAUGACAUGGAUGAUAAAGUGUCAACAUUUUACAUUGGACUAGACAUCAUCAGCUUUUGGCAACUUUUGAACACCAUCAUUGGCUUUCUUCCACAGUCGAAGACGUUCAAAUUAACAGUCCAUGAACAGCUACUGCUGGUCCUAAUGAGGGUUCGGCUUGGCUUAAUGUUCACAGAUUUGGGAUCAGCAGAACUACAGCCUGUGAUAUGUUCGCAAUGUGGAGAGCAACACUUUCCCAAGGGAAAAUCUUUUUUUUGGCUCCCUCGAGACACUCUGAAUAGAGUAAGACCCUCAAGUUUUCUUGAACACUAUCCCAAUGCAACAUGCAUCAUAGAUUGCACUGAAAUAUUUGUCCAAAGACCGAAGAACUUGGGGAAAAGAGCAAAAACAUACAGCAACUAUAAGCAUCACAACACCUACAAAGUCCUCUAUUGCAUAGCCCCCCAAUGGUUUUGUGAUGUAUUGUGUCAAAACUGUUUGGUGCCAGAGCUAGUGACAUUUUUAUCACAAAAAACUGUGGAUUUCUGUCACAUUUGAUUUUUGGUGAUCAGAUUUUGACAGACCGGGGAUUCACAAUUGGAGAUGUUCUUCCUCCAGGAGUGACAUUGGCUAUUCCAGCACUUACACGUGGAUGUACACAACUAUCAGAACAUGAAGUCACAAGAACCCGCCGUCUCGCCAAUGUCCGAAUUCAUGUUGAACGUGCAAUAAGAAGGUUAAAAUGCUUCAAAAUUUUGAGUAAUGUAAUUCCAGGUUGUUUAAAACAUGUUGAUGACAUUUUGACUAUUUGUGCAGGCCUGUGUAACCUUCUUGAAAUCUUACAAACAUGUUUGGCAUACACUACACUUGUCCCUGUCUGUAGGCCUACAUGUCAGCAUCAUCUUCCAACUUGUCAGCGAUAAUAUGCCCAAGAUAUUUUGUACUGCUUGACACACAGUGAUUGCCCUGACAGGUAAAACGUUGGAAAGACUUCCUGAACACAACACUUUUUUUGCAUUGUACUGUAUUUUUUUGCAUUGUACUGUAGGCCUACAUCAAACUCAACCCCAGAGCACACAUUCAGAAGUUGCUGAAACUCAACAGUGCCGGGGGACAUGGGCCUAAUAACCAGAUCAUCAAAUGGUUGAAAACGGUCAAGGUGGCCUAAGGUGCUGGGGGAAACUCUCUCUCUAGGCUAGGCCUAAUCAGAAAGCAAGGUGUGUGUGUGUGUUUUUUUUUUUAAACCUGUCAUUAAAGGGACACUGCAAGAUUUAUAGUUGUUUAUUUCCAGAAUUCAUGCUACUCAUUCACUAAUGUUACAUUUUUCAUGAAUAUUUACCACCACCAUCAAAUUCUAAGUAUUCAUUAUGACUGGAAAAAUUGCACUUUUCAUACAUACAAAGGGGGAUCUCCUCCAUCAUGGUCUGCCAUUUUGAAUUUCCAGAAAUAGCCAUUUUUAGCUGCAAAAAUGACUGUACUUGGGCCAUAACAGAAAAUCUGAGUUUAUUAUUUAGUAAACUUUCAUGAAAUAUACUUUCAUCAAAUUUGGCAAUAGGCAACCCAGUUACAAUGAGCAGUAUAGUUGCAGUACCCUUUUUGAUGAGUGGAGGUGCAAAACGCACACCAGAAACAGAGGUGCUGGCAACCAGAAAAAGCAAUUGUAGAAGGAGAGAGGUGCCGCACACUCACAAGUUAAAUAAACAGUUUUUUAAUGUGACACACCCUUUUUGACCAUUUCCUGCAGUGUCCCUCUAACUGAUAAAAUAAAGCCUUGUUGGCCUCAACAUGUCAUUAAUUUCACCAUGUAAAUCGUGCCUUGCAAGAACUGAUAUUUUGAGGCAGUGUUAAGACAGUGGGUUGCACCAGCUGAUUGCUUAGGCUACUUAACCACAGCCCUUUUAGAAGACAUCACCUCCCGUCCUCUCCUUGUGGUAGCGUCUCCAGCAAUAAGUAAGGAUUUGGCGCCCCUUAGUGGCAAGCUGUGCACCCAGCGAUGAACAAACAGACUGCAAAACUCAGACAAUCGCAUAUUAUGUGGCAGAGGUAAUGAUAAAAUGAUGUCUGGUAUAGUCAGGAGGUAAUGAAAAAAGCCAGUAUAACAUUUCCCAAUCAAUAUAAGGGGGAUAAUGAUUAAUUAAAUUGAAUGUGUGACAGUGGCACCAGCUCUCUGUUAAGACUGGACACCACAGGUCAGCUCCUGUGUCUAUUCCACAACACACUACAGCAAGAUUUUACAUUACAUUACAUUUCACUUAGCUGACGCUUUCAUUUGUUCAAAGCGACUUACAACUAUUAUUUUUCAGGAUAUUGGUUACAGUCCCUGGAGCAAUGUGGGGUUAGGUGCCUUGCUCAAGGGCACUUCAGCCAUGGAUGGAGGUGUAGGGAGAGGUCGUGGGGGAUUCGACAACCCCUAGAUUGAAAGACCAACUCUC
Long non-coding RNA from Engraulis encrasicolus (European anchovy), 2736 nucleotides. RefSeq lists it as uncharacterized. Lineage: Eukaryota; Metazoa; Chordata; Actinopteri; Clupeiformes; Engraulidae. The record is from RefSeq and is a predicted model, not a curated record. The transcript has 3 exons.